Molecule: ribosomal RNA, 252 nt
Filed under: Muribaculum intestinale
Lineage: Bacteria; Pseudomonadati; Bacteroidota; Bacteroidia; Bacteroidales; Muribaculaceae
Description: partial 16S ribosomal RNA
Rfam family: Bacterial small subunit ribosomal RNA
Source: RNAcentral
UACGGAGGAUGCGAGCGUUAUCCGGAUUUAUUGGGUUUAAAGGGAGCGCAGGCUGCGAGGCAAGUCAGCGGUCAAAUGUCGGGGCUCAACCCCGGCCUGCCGUUGAAACUGUCCCGCUAGAGUUCGAGUGAGGUAUGCGGAAUGCGUUGUGUAGCGGUGAAAUGCAUAGAUAUGACGCAGAACUCCGAUUGCGAAGGCAGCAUACCAACUCGCGACUGACGCUGAGGCUCGAAAGCGUGGGUAUCGAACAGG